Molecule: ribosomal RNA, 368 nt
Filed under: Acidimicrobiaceae bacterium
Lineage: Bacteria; Bacillati; Actinomycetota; Acidimicrobiia; Acidimicrobiales; Acidimicrobiaceae
Description: bacterial SSU rRNA
Rfam family: Bacterial small subunit ribosomal RNA
Source: RNAcentral
UUCGACGGAGAGUUUGAUCCUGGCUCAGGACGAACGCUGGCGGCGGGCCUAACACAUGCAAGUCGAACGCACUCGACCUUCGGGUCACAUGAGUGAGUGGCGAACGGGUGAGUAACACGUGAGGAACCUGCCCCGAAGACUGGAAUAACCCGAGGAAACUCGGGCUAAUACCGGAUAUCCCCACCAGGUCGCAUGGCCAGGUGAGGAAAUGCUCCGGCGCUUCGGGAGGGUCUCGCGGCCUAUCAGCUAGUUGGUGAGGUAACGGCUCACCAAGGCAUCGACGGGUAGCUGGUCUGAGAGGAUGAUCAGCCACACUGGGACUGAGACACGGCCCAGACUCCUACGGGAGGCAGCAGUGGGGAAUAUUG